CCUACGGGAGGCAGCAGUGAGGAAUAUUGCGCAAUGGGGGCAACCCUGACGCAGCGACGCCGCGUGGAUGAUGAAGGCCUUCGGGUUGUAAAAUCCUGUCAGAUGGGAAGAAGUGUGUAGUACUUAAUACGUGCUACAUUUGACGGUACCAUCAAAGGAAGCACCGGCUAACUCCGUGCCAGCAGCCGCGGUAAU
Molecule: ribosomal RNA, 195 nt
Filed under: uncultured bacterium
Lineage: Bacteria
Description: partial 16S ribosomal RNA
Rfam family: Bacterial small subunit ribosomal RNA
Source: RNAcentral